RNAcentral lists this ribosomal RNA (854 nucleotides) under Streptomyces sp. E-2. RNAcentral's name for it is "bacterial SSU rRNA". It matches the Rfam family "Bacterial small subunit ribosomal RNA", at positions 9 to 873 of the family's 1533-position model. Lineage: Bacteria; Bacillati; Actinomycetota; Actinomycetes; Kitasatosporales; Streptomycetaceae. The record is from RNAcentral.
AGAGUUUGAUCCUGGCUCAGGACGAACGCCGGCGGCGUGCUUAACACAUGCAAGUCGAACGAUGAACCACCUUCGGGUGGGGAUUAGUGGCGAACGGGUGAGUAACACGUGGGCAAUCUGCCCUGCACUCUGGGACAAGCCCUGGAAACGGGGUCUAAUACCGGAUACUGACCCGCCAAGGCAUCUUGGCGGGUCGAAAGCUCCGGCGGUGCAGGAUGAGCCCGCGGCCUAUCAGCUUGUUGGUGAGGUAAUGGCUCACCAAGGCGACGACGGGUAGCCGGCCUGAGAGGGCGACCGGCCACACUGGGACUGAGACACGGCCCAGACUCCUACGGGAGGCAGCAGUGGGGAAUAUUGCACAAUGGGCGAAAGCCUGAUGCAGCGACGCCGCGUGAGGGAUGACGGCCUUCGGGUUGUAAACCUCUUUCAGCAGGGAAGAAGCGAAAGUGACGGUACCUGCAGAAGAAGCGCCGGCUAACUACGUGCCAGCAGCCGCGGUAAUACGUAGGGCGCAAGCGUUGUCCGGAAUUAUUGGGCGUAAAGAGCUCGUAGGCGGCUUGUCGCGUCGGUUGUGAAAGCCCGGGGCUUAACCCCGGGUCUGCAGUCGAUACGGGCAGGCUAGAGUUCGGUAGGGGAGAUCGGAAUUCCUGGUGUAGCGGUGAGAUGCGCAGAUAUCAGGAGGAACACCGGUGGCGAAGGCGGAUCUCUGGGCCGAUACUGACGCUGAGGAGCGAAAGCGUGGGGAGCGAACAGGAUUAGAUACCCUGGUAGUCCACGCCGUAAACGGUGGGCACUAGGUGUGGGCAACAUUCCACGUUGUCCGUGCCGCAGCUAACGCAUUAUGUGCCCCGCCU